UACGGGAGGCAGCAGUAGGGAAUACUGCACAAUGGAGGAAACUCUGAUGCAGCGACGCCGCGUGAGUGAUGAAGGACUUCGGUUCGUAAAGCUCUGUUGCAAGGGAAAAAGCAAGUGAUUGUACCUUGCGAGAAAGGGUCGGCUAACUUCGUGCCAGCAGCCGCGGUAAUA
Molecule: ribosomal RNA, 171 nt
Filed under: uncultured bacterium
Lineage: Bacteria
Description: partial 16S ribosomal RNA
Rfam family: Bacterial small subunit ribosomal RNA
Source: RNAcentral